GCAAGUCGAACGGUAACAGCGGAAGCUUGCUUCCGGCUGACAAGUGGCGGACGGGUGAGUAACGCGUGGGAAUCUGCCUACUAGCGGGGGAUAGCCCGGAGAAAUCCGGAUUAAUACCGCAUACGCCCUACGGGGGAAAGCUGGGGAUCUUCGGACCUGGCACUAGUAGAUGAGCCCGCGUUGGAUUAGGUAGUUGGUGGGGUAAUGGCCUACCAAGCCGACGAUCCAUAGCUGGUUUGAGAGGAUGAUC
Molecule: ribosomal RNA, 250 nt
Filed under: uncultured bacterium
Lineage: Bacteria
Description: partial 16S ribosomal RNA
Rfam family: Bacterial small subunit ribosomal RNA
Source: RNAcentral